GCGAACUCCUCUGCGGCCCCGGAGGAUUCGGAGGGGCGGCAGGAGCCACGCGGGCCCGCGGAAGAAAGGCGCGGCCGCCCUGCCUCCUCCACCGGCGAGCUGUGGGCAGCGGCGGCGGACGCAGGCCCGGAAUUUAGAAAAGAAAGAAAGAAAGAAAAAUCUUGCUGUAGAAGAACUGCCUAGGAACUGACUGUGGAAUUACAAAUAGUGAUGUGGGGUCUAAGUACCUUCCUCUUGAAGCUGGUUGGAAUAUGUGUGCUUUGAAAAAUGGAGUACAACAGAAGUGAUGCUAGGUCAUCAGAAAAAGGACUCUCCAAGAGUCCGCCUUGUUCUCUGGAAUACUCUUGGAUUCCUGUCCACCAUGUAAAAAGAUGAAUUACCUUGAGGACACCACGCUUCCAGAAAGCCUAAGCCACAUGGAGAAGCAAUCUAGUCAACAGUCGCAGCUGAGUGCAGCCUUUGAGUCAUCCAGCUCAAGUACCGGUUAUUUCAGCGAAGAAACUGACAGAUGAUUCCAACUCCAAGACACUUGAGUCACCCUCCCAGAUGAGGGCUCAAGCAUCAUGGAACUGAGACAAGCAUCCCUGCUCUGCUCUGAGUUCAUGACCCACAGGAGCCUAGUAAAGUGGUUGUUUAUUUAUA
This is a non-coding RNA of Manis javanica (Malayan pangolin), 642 nucleotides long. The record is from RefSeq and is a predicted model, not a curated record. NCBI's taxonomy places the organism in Eukaryota, Metazoa, Chordata, Mammalia, Pholidota, Manidae.